Molecule: long non-coding RNA, 1135 nt
Organism: Amphiprion ocellaris (clown anemonefish)
Lineage: Eukaryota; Metazoa; Chordata; Actinopteri; Pomacentridae
Source: Ensembl
AGACCAGUCUUCUGUGGCUGCAGGGCAGAGUCUGCUGACGGUGUCUCUGCUUAUCGGCGGCGUCAUGCGCGUGUAGGGUCGGACAUCCGAGUGAUACACCCUGAGAUAACCUCGUCACGUGAACUGCGCUGCAGAUUGGAUUAUGAAGGUGUCAAAUCUCUCCCUGAUGGUCACAAGCUAUUUUCUGAGAAUGUACUGCAUGGCUCUGCUGAAACUGGACCCUCAGAAUGGGAGUGGGAGAGCGAGUGGAGUGCUCAGGGGAGGUCACGUAGGUUUAUGGAAGGUCAGCGAGCCCACCUGAGAGUCCGACCCCAGCACUGAUCAAGCAGACAGAGAUGUACUUUGAUCAUGUGUCUUGAGGUGCCGUCCCAUCCGACAAGUUCUCAAGUUAUGUAAGCAUCCCAAGAGGGGGGUCCACCUCCUGGUCUGCUUCUGCAGCUCCACCUCCCAUCCUGACCCCCUGUCCCACCUCAGUCUUGUGACUGUGGGGAACAAAGACGGUGGUGGGCAUUUGAGCCAUGUGGAAGGUGACUCCUGGUGCCAGUGUUGGGUUUCAGGCUCGACCUACAAAGUGAGAAGCGGAGACCAUGCGCUGCCGCUGUCAGGAGUGAGAUAUAGGGGAAAAACGGAGACAAAGACAGUGACAGAGAGAGAGAUCGGAAAGAAGGGGGGGAGAGAGAAAGAGAAACGCCCUCACCGCUGCUAUGCAUGAUGGGCAUGAAUGCGUUUCACCAAAGAGCUUGAGUCUUCACCACCACUGACAGCCCACAAACCCAAACACUGAGGGAGCGCUUCACUUCUGGGACCAUGCUGGCUUCUGGCACGAAAUUCUGAGAUUUUAUUUAUUUCAAUUGGGUACAUAACUUGUUAUUAAAUGCUGGCUCUGAGCAAACAUGCUCACCACACAAGCUUGGGUUAGGGUGCUGUAGGGAUAAAGUCUUAACAAUUUGCAUUUGGUUGCACAAGUGGCGCCUUCAUCACCAGCUAGUACACUCUGCCACUUAAGUAUGCAGACGUCUUUUUACGUUUUACUUUAAAACCCUUAAAAGACAAUAGACACCUUAAUCAGUGAGGCAAGGGGGGGAAAAGUGACAUUUUUCCACCCAAUCUCUUGAAAAUUAUGUUCCUGUAUAAC